UUUCUCUUUCAUACUGGAAGUUCAGGGAAGCGGGGGAGCAAGCUGGCUGGCUCUCUGUAAAGCAGGUAGUUCCUUUUCUCUUCAGCCUUGGUCUCUUUCCGACCUCCGCUGACAAGGUGUUGAUCUGCGGAAGUAGUGAGCCCAGGUCGGGUGUUCUUGCAGCCAGCCUGUGAGCACUCCCUUCAAUGGAAAGUCCUGUGGUCCCUGCCAGCAACUCUGGUCCACAGAUGUCUCCGGAUGCAGCCCCACCCGUGCUCGGUUGCUGCAGUGGGAUUUGCAAGUGAUCUGCGCACCAGAAUCAUAACCAACCUUAAGGGGGACUUCAACGCAAGAUACUGGAACCAAAUACCAAAACCAGUUACAAUUCUCACAGCCUUUUCAGGAGAUAAUAAUAGAAUUUCAGGCAAGAUGGACAAGAAUUUUGAGCUUCAUGGAAGUGAUAAGUGUCACUUAAAUGGGGAAAGUAGCAGAGUAGCUUCUGCAUUGACCCGUCAUCGACAGAGCCGGAGAUCAGAUGGCGAUGCCCUCAUUUUUCGCGCAGCCGUUCUCUUCCGCUCAAAUGUACCAAACGUAGGGCCCAUUUGCCGACUUGGAAUUCACAGUUGA
This 606-nucleotide long non-coding RNA is filed under the name Chinchilla lanigera (long-tailed chinchilla). RNAcentral describes it as "lncRNA (ENSCLAG00000026077.1)". The record is from RNAcentral. Lineage: Eukaryota; Metazoa; Chordata; Mammalia; Rodentia; Chinchillidae.